This 520-nucleotide ribosomal RNA is filed under the name uncultured Ambispora. RNAcentral describes it as "SSU rRNA". It matches the Rfam family "Eukaryotic small subunit ribosomal RNA", at positions 569 to 1090 of the family's 1831-position model. The record is from RNAcentral. Lineage: Eukaryota; Fungi; Glomeromycota; Glomeromycetes; Archaeosporales; Ambisporaceae.
AGCAGCCGCGGUAAUUCCAGCUCCAAUAGCGUAUAUUAAAGUUGUUGCAGUUAAAAGCUCGUAGUUGAAUUUUGGGUCUGGCCGGGCGGUCCGCCCUCUGGGUGAGCACUGUUCCGACGUCGGGCCUAUCCUUCUGGUGAGUCGGCAUGUCCUUUAUUGGGUGUGUCGGGGGAACCAGGACCAUUACCUUGAAAAAAUUAGAGUGUUCAAAGCAGGCGUAUGCUCGGAUACAUUAGCAUGGAAUAAUGAAAUAGGACGCGUGGUGCUAUUUUGUUGGUUUCUAGAACCGCCGUAAUGAUUAAUAGGGAUAGUUGGGGGCAUUAGUAUUCAAUUGUCAGAGGUGAAAUUCUUGGAUUUAUUGAAGACUAACUUCUGCGAAAGCAUUUGCCAAGGAUGUUUUCAUUAAUCAAGAACGAAAGUUAGGGGAUCGAAGACGAUCAGAUACCGUCGUAGUCUUAACCAUAAACUAUGCCGACUAGGAAUCGGGCGAUGUUAUUCUCAUGACUCGCCCGGCGCCUUA